RNAcentral lists this long non-coding RNA (2579 nucleotides) under Anas platyrhynchos platyrhynchos (common mallard). RNAcentral describes it as "lncRNA (ENSAPLG00000018825.1)". Lineage: Eukaryota; Metazoa; Chordata; Aves; Anseriformes; Anatidae. The record is from RNAcentral.
AAUUCUGCCUGGGCCAGCUGCCCCCACACCCGCAAACCCCAUUGCCCACCCUGCUCACCGCACCCCAAUGGGUGCCCUCGAGCCCCCUGCCCCGGGAACCCCAGUGGGCACCUCGUGUGUCCUGCCCCAUUUGUGUCCCAAGGGGCACCCCCUGCCCAAAACACCCCGUGACCCCCCCCCCAUAUCCCUCUGCAGACUCUGCCCCACACUGAGCUCUCCCCGUGCUGCCCGGCCCCCAUCCAUGUCCCCACCAGCACCACUUUUGGGGAAAAUAACCCAGCAAGACCCAGUUUGUACUGGGAUCAAGGUGCCCUUUACCAGUUUAACCUCCUAACACUGGGGCUGAGCCUUUCCCUGGGUCCCAGUGGGGACCCCCACCAGGGUGCUGGCAGGGUGGGGGGCAUGAGGUUCCCCGGGGUGCCCCAGAGCUGUGGGGACAGCCCCGUCCCAUCCCAAUUCCUGGAUACUGGUGCAGGAGGGGAUGGCAGCGUCCCCGUGCUGGCGACGGGGUUCUUGGGGGACCUGCAUACAUGGGGGGGCUGUGUAGGGGACCCCCAGGGCACCCAUGGGUGCCAUCUGUGGGGUUUGGGGAGCAGCCUCAGUCCCCAGCCCAGGGGGACAGGACAAAGGGAGGCUGGGGGGUGGCACCGCUGCUGUCGGCAGCAAAACCCCAGCCCGGAGGCGCUCGGUGGGGAGCUUUGCUAAUUGCUGCGCUGGAAAUUGUGCUAAAUUACGACAAACGCCACCCGCUCUGCGGUUUGCUGACGCUCCGCUUUAAUGCACCCGUUGCAGAUCUCCGGGCUCCAGCCCCCUGCUCCCCGGGAUCGCCUGCUCCAGCCCCUCGUGGGGCCACGCGGGAUGGAUCCUCCGGGCACGGGGACACCACCAACACAGCAACACCACCCUCGUUCCACUCCAUCCAACGCAACGUCCCCCCCCCCCCGGGGCGAAGCCCACCCGGGGCAGCUCCGCGGUGGCACCGGGUGCUGCUGCUGCUGCCCCAGCUUGCAAAACCGCGGCUGAAAAUGUGCCCAGCUCACGGCUUGGCGCAAGCGUCCCCGUGCAGGGCUCGCCCAGAGCUGGUGGACAAAGCGUGCACGGCGUCCUCCAGCGCGUAGAAAGCCUGGAAGAGGUCCGGGGAGGUGGCCCGGCACUCCAGGUACCGCCGCAGCGUGGCCAGGCUGUCCCACACCUCGGGCUGCGAGGGGCAAGGCUGCGCCACCACCGUCUCCCCAGCAUCCUCGCCCUCCACCGUCCCCCCGUCCCAGUCCGCCACCUCGGCCGUUUCGGCGUCUGCCGGCUCCCCGAGGCGCUCCAGCCCCUCGUCCAUCAGCACGAAGCGCUCGAUCUGCUCCUGGCCGAAGCGGACGGGUGCCAGCAGCGUGUCGGGGCUGGCGUCGGGGCUGAAGCCGGCGGCGCGGAAGCAGCUGGCGAUGAGCCCCGGGCGCACGUCACCCCAGGCUUGCACCAGCAUGUGCAGGGCAUCCAAAAGAUUUGGCUGCUCCAAGCCACGUGCCGCCGGGAGCCGAGUCAGCAGCCGGCGCCGGUAGUGGCCCUUCAGGUCCCUGGCGAUGCCGCGGUCCAGGGGUUGUGCCAGCGCGGCGGCGGGGGGCACGAAAACCAUCCUGACGUUGGAGAGCUCGAGGUAGGGGUGCGCCUGGCGCCGGUCGAGGAGCAGCAGGAUGCUCUUCCCCUUGCGCCGCAUCUCCUCGUUGAAGUCCUGCAGCCACUCGGCGAAGAGCGGGGCGGUCAGGAGGGCCUGGCCGCUGGCGCGGUAGCUCCAGGGCAUGUGCUGCAGGUUAACGCCGCGCAGGCAGCGGGGCCGGGGGCUCUGCCCCACCACCCGCAGCGCCGCCUUCUCCGUGCCGUCGGCGUUGGCGCAGAGCAGCAGCGUCAGCCUACCGCCGGGGCCGGCUGGUUCAUCCUCCUCGGCCAGCGGGGUGUGCAGGAGGACCCCCGUCUCCCCGCAGCUGUACACCUCGGAGGGCGCGUAGCUGCGCAGCAGCUCGGGCAGCACCGCGCUGCUCCAGCGCUCGGCCCCCAGCUGCUCCGCGUCCCCCCUUUCCCGGGGCGGCUUCUCCAGGGCGAUGUUGUGGCGCAGCCUGAAGCGGGCCAGCCAGUUGCCGCUGGGCUCGAAGCCCGGUUUGCCCAACGCCUCGGCCAGGUUUUUGGCCUUGACCUGCAGGAGCGGGGCGCUGACGGGGAGCUCGGCCGCUCGGGCGCUCUCCACCCAGCGCAGCAACGCGGCCUCCACGGCCACGUCCUUGCCCUCCCGCUUGCGCUUGCGCUCGGGGUUGCUGUUGUGGUGCCACUCGCUCAGGAUCCGCUCCUUGUUCUUGAUGAUGCGGCAGAUUUGGGGCUGCGACACCCCGAAACGCUUGGCCAGCUCGCUCUGCGACACCUUGGGGCCGUCCAGCAUCUCCAGCACCCGCACCUUCUCCGUCAGCGACAGCUCCUUGCGCUCUUUGCGGGGUGCCCCCACCUCCGUCCCGGUGCACCCGCUGGCACCGGGGGGGGCUCCGGCCAGCCGUGCCGCGGGACCACCGCGCUGGCCAAAACCCCGACCGCAGGCACCGCAG